CCCCUUCGGGGCCGAGUAGAGUGGCGUCCGGGUGAGUAACACGUGAGUAAUUUGCCUUCGGGUGGGGAAUAACAACCGGAAACGGUUGCUAAUACCGCAUAAUGCAGCGGCACCACAUGGUGACAGUUGUUAAAGCGGGGGAUUCGCAAGAACCUCGUGCCUGAAGAGAAGCUCGCGGCGGAUUAGCUAGUUGGUAGGGUAACGGCCUACCAAGGCCACGAUCCGUAGCCGGCCUGAGAGGGCGGUCGGCCACACUGACACUGACACACGGGUCAGACUCCUACGGGAGGCAGCAGUCGGGAAUUUUGGGCAAUGGGCGAAAGCCUGACCCAGCAACGCCGCGUGAAGGAUGAAGUUUUUCGGAAUGUAAACUUCACAAGAAUGGGAAGAAUAAGUGGGGGAUAAUACCCCCCAUGAUGACGGUACCAUUUGUAAGCUCCGGCUAACUCCGUGCCAGCAGCCGCGGUAAUACGGGGGGAGCAAGCGUUGUUCGGAUUUACUGGGCGUAAAGGGCGCGUAGGCGGCGCAACAAGUCACUUGUGAAAUCUCCGGGCUUAACUCGGAGCGGCCAAGUGAUACUGUCGUGCUAGAGUGCGGAAGGGGCAACUGGAAUUCUCGGUGUAGCGGUGAAAUGCGUAGAUAUCGAGAGGAACACCUGCGGCGAAGGCGGGUUGCUGGGCCGACACUGA
RNAcentral lists this ribosomal RNA (689 nucleotides) under uncultured bacterium. RNAcentral describes it as "bacterial SSU rRNA". It matches the Rfam family "Bacterial small subunit ribosomal RNA", at positions 75 to 743 of the family's 1533-position model. The record is from RNAcentral.